AACCGACACAGGUGGUCAGGUAGAGAAUACCAAGGCGCUUGAGAGAACUCGGGUGAAGGAACUAGGCAAAAUGGUGCCGUAACUUCGGGAGAAGGCACGCUGACACGUAGGUGAAGUGAUUUACUCACGGAGCUGAAGUCAGUCGAAGAUACCAGCUGGCUGCAACUGUUUAUUAAAAACACAGCACUGUGCAAACACGAAAGUGGACGUAUACGGUGUGACGUCUGCCCGGU
Molecule: ribosomal RNA, 233 nt
Filed under: Salmonella enterica subsp. enterica serovar Cerro
Lineage: Bacteria; Pseudomonadati; Pseudomonadota; Gammaproteobacteria; Enterobacterales; Enterobacteriaceae
Description: partial 23S ribosomal RNA
Rfam family: Bacterial large subunit ribosomal RNA
Source: RNAcentral